RNAcentral lists this ribosomal RNA (893 nucleotides) under uncultured bacterium. RNAcentral describes it as "bacterial SSU rRNA". It matches the Rfam family "Bacterial small subunit ribosomal RNA", at positions 8 to 916 of the family's 1533-position model. The record is from RNAcentral.
AGAGUUUGAUCCUGGCUCAUAAUGAACGCUGGCGGCGUGCUUAACACAUGCAAGUCGAACGGUAACAGGAGGAAGCUUGCUUUCUUGCUGACCAGUGGCGCACGGGUGAGUAAUGCAUAGGUAACGUGCCCCUUAGUCUGGGAUAGCCACUGGAAACGGUGAAUAAUACUGGAUACUCCUUCUACCUUGAUGGUAGUUGGGAAAGUUUUUCGCUAAGGGAUCGGCCUAUGUUGUAUCAGGUAGUUGGUGAGGUAAUGGCUCACCAAGCCUAUGACACAUAGCGGGUCUGAGAGGAUGAUCCGCCACACUGGUACUGAGACACGGACCARACUCCUACGGGAGGCAGCAGUGGGGAAUAUUGCACAAUGGACGAAAGUCUGAUGCAGCAACGCCGCGUGGAGGAUGACACAUUUCGGUGCGUAAACUCCUUUUAUAUGAGAAGAUAAUGACGGUAUCAUAUGAAUAAGCACCGGCUAACUCCGUGCCAGCAGCCGCGGUAAUACGGAGGGUGCAAGCGUUAUUCGGAAUCACUGGGCGUAAAGGGUGCGUAGGCGGUUUGGAAAGUCAGAUGUGAAAGCCUACAGCUUAACUGUAGAACUGCAUUUGAAACUUCCAGACUAGAAUACUGAAGGGGCAGAUGGAAUUAGUGGUGUAGGGGUAAAAUCCGUAGAUAUCACUAGGAAUACCGAAAGCGAAAGCGAUCUGCUGGGAAGUUAUUGACGCUGAGGCACGAAAGCGUGGGGAGCAAACGGGAUUAGAUACCCCGGUAGUCCACGCCCUAAACGAUGAAUGCUAGUCGUCGGAAAGCUCGUCUUUUCGGUGAUGCAGUUAACACAUUAAGCAUUCCGCCUGGGGAGUACGGUCGCAAGAUUAAAACUCAAAGGAAUUGACGG